RNAcentral lists this ribosomal RNA (254 nucleotides) under uncultured bacterium. RNAcentral describes it as "partial 16S ribosomal RNA". It matches the Rfam family "Bacterial small subunit ribosomal RNA", at positions 524 to 776 of the family's 1533-position model. The record is from RNAcentral.
UACGUAGGCAGCGAGCGUUGUUCGGAGUUACUGGGCGUAAAGGGUGUGUAGGCGGUUAUUUAAGUUUGGUGUGAAAUCUCCCGGCUCAACCGGGAGGGUGCGCCGAAUACUGAAUGACUUGGAGUGCGGGAGAGGUGAGUGGAAUUCCUGGUGUAGCGGUGAAAUGCGUAGAUAUCAGGAGGAACACCGGUGGUGUAGACGGCUCACUGGACCGUAACUGACGCUGAGACACGAAAGCGUGGGGAGCAAACAGG